Molecule: ribosomal RNA, 710 nt
Filed under: Faecalibacterium prausnitzii
Lineage: Bacteria; Bacillati; Bacillota; Clostridia; Eubacteriales; Oscillospiraceae
Description: bacterial SSU rRNA
Rfam family: Bacterial small subunit ribosomal RNA
Source: RNAcentral
UAAACUCCUGUUGUUGAGGAAGAUAAUGACGGUACUCAACAAGGAAGUGACGGCUAACUACGUGCCAGCAGCCGCGGUAAAACGUAGGUCACAAGCGUUGUCCGGAAUUACUGGGUGUAAAGGGAGCGCAGGCGGGAGAACAAGUUGGAAGUGAAAUCCAUGGGCUCAACCCAUGAACUGCUUUCAAAACUGUUUUUCUUGAGUAGUGCAGAGGUAGGCGGAAUUCCCGGUGUAGCGGUGGAAUGCGUAGAUAUCGGGAGGAACACCAGUGGCGAAGGCGGCCUACUGGGCACCAACUGACGCUGAGGCUCGAAAGUGUGGGUAGCAAACAGGAUUAGAUACCCUGGUAGUCCACACCGUAAACGAUGAUUACUAGGUGUUGGAGGAUUGACCCCUUCAGUGCCGCAGUUAACACAAUAAGUAAUCCACCUGGGGAGUACGACCGCAAGGUUGAAACUCAAAGGAAUUGACGGGGGCCCGCACAAGCAGUGGAGUAUGUGGUUUAAUUCGACGCAACGCGAAGAACCUUACCAAGUCUUGACAUCCCUUGACGAUGCUGGAAACAGUAUUUCUCUUCGGAGCAAGGAGACAGGUGGUGCAUGGUUGUCGUCAGCUCGUGUCGUGAGAUGUUGGGUUAAGUCCCGCAACGAGCGCAACCCUUAUGGUCAGUUACUACGCAAGAGGACUCUGGCCAGACUGCCGUUGACAAA